RNAcentral lists this ribosomal RNA (162 nucleotides) under uncultured bacterium. RNAcentral's name for it is "partial 16S ribosomal RNA". It matches the Rfam family "Bacterial small subunit ribosomal RNA", at positions 1337 to 1500 of the family's 1533-position model. The record is from RNAcentral.
AGUAAUGGCAGGUCAGCAUACUGCCGUGAAUACGUUCCCGGGCCUUGUACACACCGCCCGUCACACCAUGAGAGUUGGAAAUACCCGAAGCCUGUGAGCUAACUUUUAGAGGCAGCAGUCGAAGGUAGAGCCAAUGAUUGGGUGAAGUCGUAACAAGGUAUC